GUGCAGAUAUGCAGAUAUGGAGGGCAAUGACAAACAGCUUCAUAACCAUCUAGCAGAAAUGCAAAUGCCGUAGGUAGGACAGAAGCUUUGUUGCAGAAGAAUGCAGUAAAAAAGUCGCCGUAAUUUCAACAUGUGAUUCAAGCUACAGGAUCGUAGGUAGGACAGAGGCUUUGCUGCAGAAGAAUGCAGAAAAAAGUGGUGUACCCUACCAAGUUUCUGAACAUUUGUAAUUUCAACAUGGGAUUCAAGCUGAAUAACAUGCAGGGGGCGACGAGGAGAUAACGUGCAGAGAAGCAGAGAUGGAGAAAAACCGUGCACUAAGAUUCAGUAAAGUGGCGAAAUGAUGCCGUUUUAGCCGAAA
Molecule: unclassified non-coding RNA, 361 nt
Filed under: Hevea brasiliensis (rubber tree)
Lineage: Eukaryota; Viridiplantae; Streptophyta; Magnoliopsida; Malpighiales; Euphorbiaceae
Source: RNAcentral